CAAUAGCGUAUAUUUAAGUUGCUGCAGUUAAAAAGCUCGUAGUUGGAUUUCGGGUGGGAAUGGCCGGUCCGCCGUUUCGGUGUGCACUUGCUACGCCCACCUUGCUGCCGGGGACGUGCACUUGAGUUCACGCUCGGGACACGGAGUCGGCGAGGUUACUUUGAGUAAAUUAGAGUGUUCAAAGCAGGCCUACGCUCUGAAUACAUUAGCAUGGAAUAACACGAUAGGACUCUGGCCUAUCUUGUUGGUCUGUAGGACCGGAGUAAUGAUUAAGAGGGACAGUCGGGGGCAUUCGUAUUUCAUUGUCAGAGGUGAAAUUCUUGGAUUUAUGAAAGACGAACUACUGCGAAAGCAUUUGCCAAGGAUGUUUUCAUUAA
RNAcentral lists this ribosomal RNA (377 nucleotides) under uncultured eukaryote. Its description in RNAcentral is "partial 18S ribosomal RNA". It matches the Rfam family "Eukaryotic small subunit ribosomal RNA", at positions 592 to 976 of the family's 1831-position model. The record is from RNAcentral.